This 468-nucleotide ribosomal RNA is filed under the name uncultured bacterium. Its description in RNAcentral is "partial 16S ribosomal RNA". It matches the Rfam family "Bacterial small subunit ribosomal RNA", at positions 28 to 507 of the family's 1533-position model. The record is from RNAcentral.
GACGAACGCUGGCGGCGUGCUUAACACAUGCAAGUCGAACGGAAAGGCCCUGCUUUUGUGGGGUGCUCGAGUGGCGAACGGGUGAGUAACACGUGAGUAACCUGCCCUUGACUUUGGGAUAACUUCAGGAAACUGGGGCUAAUACCGGAUAGGAGCUCCUGCUGCAUGGUGGGGGUUGGAAGGUUUCGGCGGUUGGGGAUGGACUCGCGGCUUAUCAGCUUGUUGGUGGGGUAGUGGCUUACCAAGGCUUUGACGGGUAGCCGGCCUGAGAGGGUGACCGGCCACAUUGGGACUGAGAUACGGCCCAGACUCCUACGGGAGGCAGCAGUGGGGAAUAUUGCACAAUGGGCGGAAGCCUGAUGCAGCAACGCCGCGUGCGGGAUGACGGCCUUCGGGUCGUAAACCGCUUUCGCCUGUGACGAAGCGUGAGUGACGGUAAUGGGUAAAGAAGCACCGGCUAACUACGUG